This 907-nucleotide ribosomal RNA is filed under the name uncultured bacterium. Its description in RNAcentral is "bacterial SSU rRNA". It matches the Rfam family "Bacterial small subunit ribosomal RNA", at positions 1 to 913 of the family's 1533-position model. The record is from RNAcentral.
UAGAGUUUGAUCCUGGCUCAGAUUGAACGCUGGCGGCAGGCCUAACACAUGCAAGUCGAACGGUAGCACAGAGAGCUUGCUCUCGGGUGACGAGUGGCGGACGGGUGAGUAAUGUCUGGGAAACUGCCUGAUGGAGGGGGAUAACUACUGGAAACGGUAGCUAAUACCGCAUAAUGUCGCAAGACCAAAGAGGGGGACCUUCGGGCCUCUUGCCAUCGGAUGUGCCCAGAUGGGAUUAGCUUGUUGGUGAGGUAACGGCUCACCAAGGCGACGAUCCCUAGCUGGUCUGAGAGGAUGACCAGCCACACUGGAACUGAGACACGGUCCAGACUCCUACGGGAGGCAGCAGUGGGGAAUAUUGCACAAUGGGCGCAAGCCUGAUGCAGCCAUGCCGCGUGUAUGAAGAAGGCCUUCGGGUUGUAAAGUACUUUCAGCGAGGAGGAAGGCGGUAAGGUUAAUAACCUUAUCGAUUGACGUUACUCGCAGAAGAAGCACCGGCUAACUCCGUGCCAGCAGCCGCGGUAAUACGGAGGGUGCAAGCGUUAAUCGGAAUUACUGGGCGUAAAGCGCACGCAGGCGGUCUGUCAAGUCGGAUGUGAAAUCCCCGGGCUCAACCUGGGAACUGCAUUCGAAACUGGCAGGCUAGAGUCUUGUAGAGGGGGGUAGAAUUCCAGGUGUAGCGGUGAAAUGCGUAGAGAUCUGGAGGAAUACCGGGUGGCGAAUGCGGCCCCCUGGACAAAGACUGACGCUCAGUGCGAAGCGUGGGGAGCAACAGGAUUAGAUACCCUGGUAGUCCACGCCGUAAACGAUGUCGACUUGGAGGUGUGCCCUUGGAGCGUGCCUUCAGAGCUUACGCGUAGUCGACGCCUUGGCGAGUACGGACGCAGGCUCGACUCAAAUGACUUGA